Molecule: ribosomal RNA, 643 nt
Filed under: uncultured bacterium
Lineage: Bacteria
Description: bacterial SSU rRNA
Rfam family: Bacterial small subunit ribosomal RNA
Source: RNAcentral
GUUUGAUCAUGGCUCAGAUUGAACGCUGGCGGAAUGCUUUACACAUGCAAGUCGAGCGGCAGCGCGGGGCAACCUGGCGGCGAGCGGCGAACGGGUGAGUAACAUAUCGGAACGUAUCCUUGAGUGGGGGACAACCCGUCGAAAGACAGGCUAAUACCGCAUACGCUCGAGAGAGGAAAGUGGGGGACCGCAAGGCCUCACGCUGAAGGAGCGGCCGAUAUUCGAUUAGCUAGUUGGUGAGGUAAAGGCUCACCAAGGCGACGAUCGAUAGCUGGUCUGAGAGGAUGAUCAGCCACACUGGAACUGAGACACGGUCCAGACUCCUACGGGAGGCAGCAGUGGGGAAUUUUGGACAAUGGGGGCAACCCUGAUCCAGCCAUUCCGCGUGAGUGAAGAAGGCCUUCGGGUUGUAAAGCUCUUUUGUUCGGGACGAAACGGUUACGGGUAAUAUCCGUGACUACUGACGGUACCGGAAGAAUAAGCACCGGCUAACUACGUGCCAGCAGCCGCGGUAAUACGUAGGGUGCGAGCGUUAAUCGGAAUUACUGGGCGUAAAGCGUGCGCAGGCGGUUAUGCAAGCCAGAUGUGAAAUCCCCGGGCUCAACCCUGGGAAUGGCAUUUGGGACUGCAUAGCUAGAGUUGC